UACGGAGGGGGCUAGCGUUGCUCGGAAUCACUGGGCGUAAAGCGCACGUAGGCGGCUCUUUAAGUCAGGGGUGAAAUCCUGGAGCUCAACUCCAGAACUGCCUUUGAUACUGAGGGGCUUGAGUCCGGGAGAGGUGAGUGGAACUGCGAGUGUAGAGGUGAAAUUCGUAGAUAUUCGCAAGAACACCAGUGGCGAAGGCGGCUCACUGGCCCGGUACUGACGCUGAGGUGCGAAAGCGUGGGGAGCAAACAGG
RNAcentral lists this ribosomal RNA (253 nucleotides) under uncultured bacterium. Its description in RNAcentral is "partial 16S ribosomal RNA". It matches the Rfam family "Bacterial small subunit ribosomal RNA", at positions 524 to 776 of the family's 1533-position model. The record is from RNAcentral.